GCCAAGAGCCUAGCUCUAAUUUUUCAAAUGAACUAACCACCACCCCCAUCCAAAUUAAAACAUUUUAACAAUUUAGUAAAGGCGAUUAAAAAAUUAAUUAAAGCUAUAUUAUGUGUACCGCAAGGGAAAGAUGAAAUAAAAAUGAAAUAAAUUUUAAGCACAAAAUAGCAAAGAUUAAUCCUUGUACCUUUUGCAUCAUGGUUUAACUAGUCUAAUCAAGCAAAAAGACUUAAAGUUUGAUUCCCCGAAACUAAGCGAGCUACUUCAGGGCAGCUUAACGAGCAAACCCGUCUCUGUUGCAAAAGAAUGGGAAGACCCCUAAGUAGAAGUGACAGACCUAUCGAGCUUAGUGAUAGCUGGUUACUCAAAAAAAGAAUUUAAGUUCAACCUAAAAUUAAAAAUAUUAUUGAUAAAAUAUAACACUUAUUUUAGAGUAAUUCAAAUAGGGUACAGCCUAUUUGAAACAGGACACAACCUACGCCAAUGGGUAACUAUCUUCUGUAUAAUAAUUAAGUAGGCCUAAAAGCAGCCAUCUUUCAAAUAGCGUCACAGCUUUAUUAUACUAACACCAAAUUCCAACACACUUUCAUAACCCUUCACCAACAUUGAGUAAUUCUAUACAUGUAUAGAAAUUUUUAUGUUAAAACUAGUAACAAGAAGAUGAGCUUCUCCUCAAUGUAAGUAUAAAUCAGUUAGGACCCACAACUGAUAGUUAACACCUCUACUAUAGUAGCACCAAAACAAGAAAAACCUACUCUCACCACAUGUUAACCUAACACAAGCACAUUACAAGAAAGAUUUAAAGAAAAAGAAGGAACUCGGCAAACACUAACCCCGCCUGUUUACCAAAAACAUCGCCUCUUGAAACCCAUAAGAGGUCCAGCCUGCCCAGUGACUCUGUUCAACGGCCGCGGUAUUCUGACCGUGCGAAGGUAGCGUAAUCACUUGUUCUUUAAUUGAGGACUAGUAUGAAUGGCACCACGAAGGUUAUACUGUCUCCUUUUUCCAAUCAGUGAAACUGAUCUCCCCGUGAAGAAACGGGGAUACACUUAUAAGACGAGAAGACCCUAUGGAGCUUUAAACUUACAACAGCUGCCUAAAAAACUUUAAUUCCAGAAAAUAAACCCUAAUUCAGCAUCCUUGAUUUUUAAGUUUUUGGUUGGGGUGACCACGGAGUAAAACUUAACCUCCGCACUGAAAAAGGCCUCAGGCCUUAUCUAAGAGCCACAACUCUAUACAUCAACAAUUUGACAUAAUUGACCCAAUAUAUUGAUCAAUGAACCAAGUUACCCUAGGGAUAACAGCGCAAUCCACUUCAAGAGCCCCUAUCGACAAGUGGGUUUACGACCUCGAUGUUGGAUCAGGAUACCCAAGUGGUGCAGCCGCUACUAAAGGUUCGUUUGUUCAACGAUUAAAACCC
RNAcentral lists this ribosomal RNA (1420 nucleotides) under Paratelmatobius sp. MTR_11682. RNAcentral describes it as "partial 16S ribosomal RNA". It matches the Rfam family "Bacterial large subunit ribosomal RNA", at positions 410 to 2596 of the family's 2925-position model. RNAcentral also lists the same sequence under 2 other names. Lineage: Eukaryota; Metazoa; Chordata; Amphibia; Anura; Leptodactylidae. The record is from RNAcentral.